UGGUUAGGGAUUGCAGAUUUGACAAUUAUUGUACCUGAAGGUGAGGAAUUUCUGCGAAUUUGAUCGGUGCAGCUUGAAUUCAAAUACUCUACAAGUUCCACUUUUGGAAUUUGGUAAUGCGGACUGGGCUUGGCUCCAGAAUUCUGAUGUUUUCAGUUGCUGCCUUGGGUGCCUUAUUCUCGUGCUCUUUCUAGUUUGCUUCAGGAGUUACCGGACUUGUCAAGCCAACAACAAAGGAUCUCGAAAGUCUCAAAGAUGGAAAGAAAUUAUAUGUUCUCGCGAACCGAAAAUGCUUGAAUGUGGCUAUUACGUCAUGAAGUACAUGUAUCAAAUAGUUUUACUUGGAUUACAAAGUAUUAGUAAUGUGGAAGAGAUAUUUUCUCCAAACCCGUACACUCAAGAGGAGAUCGAUGAUGUUCGAGAAAAAAUGGAGUAGAUAUUUUAUUAGUAG
Molecule: long non-coding RNA, 451 nt
Organism: Spinacia oleracea (spinach)
Lineage: Eukaryota; Viridiplantae; Streptophyta; Magnoliopsida; Caryophyllales; Amaranthaceae
Exons: 5
Source: RefSeq, a predicted model, not a curated record